UCAUGAAAGUUGUUCAUUUGGUUCAAUGGC
RNAcentral lists this non-coding RNA (30 nucleotides) under Rattus norvegicus (Norway rat). Lineage: Eukaryota; Metazoa; Chordata; Mammalia; Rodentia; Muridae. The record is from RNAcentral.